RNAcentral lists this ribosomal RNA (253 nucleotides) under uncultured bacterium. RNAcentral describes it as "partial 16S ribosomal RNA". It matches the Rfam family "Bacterial small subunit ribosomal RNA", at positions 524 to 776 of the family's 1533-position model. The record is from RNAcentral.
UACGGAGGGGGCUAGCGUUGUUCGGAAUUACUGGGCGUAAAGCGCACGUAGGCGGCUUUGUAAGUUAGAGGUGAAAGCCCGGGGCUCAACUCCGGAAUUGCCUUUAAGACUGCAUCGCUAGGAUUGUGGAGAGGUAAGUGGAAUUCCGAGUGUAGAGGUGAAAUGCGUAGAUAUCAGGAGGAACACCGAUGGCGAAGGCAGGUCUCUGGGCUGACACUGACGCUCAUGCACGAAAGCGUGGGGAGCAAACAGG